Molecule: long non-coding RNA, 307 nt
Filed under: Gallus gallus (chicken)
Lineage: Eukaryota; Metazoa; Chordata; Aves; Galliformes; Phasianidae
Source: RNAcentral
UGAGACCACAUGAUGCGAAUGGGUUUUCCUUUGAUCACAUCAAAGUUCAUGGUGUCUAGAGCACGCUCAGCGUCCGCCGGCUGCUGGAAGUUGACGUAGGCGUAGCCGAGGGAUCUGCGGGUGAUCAUAUCCCGGCACACGCGGAUGGAGAGGAUGGGCCCCGCGGGGCUGAACUUCUCGUACAGCAUGGCCUCGGUGACGUCGGGGUGCAGAUCGCCCACGUACAGCGAGGCCAUGGGGUAGCUGCUGCCCGCCGCGUCCAUCGCCCGCACCGCUCUCGGCGUGGCUGUGGCGUGCGCUGCGGCCC